RNAcentral lists this ribosomal RNA (458 nucleotides) under Salmonella enterica. Its description in RNAcentral is "partial 23S ribosomal RNA". It matches the Rfam family "Bacterial large subunit ribosomal RNA", at positions 734 to 1190 of the family's 2925-position model. The record is from RNAcentral. Lineage: Bacteria; Pseudomonadati; Pseudomonadota; Gammaproteobacteria; Enterobacterales; Enterobacteriaceae. RNAcentral also lists the same sequence under 2 other names.
CCAUGGGCAGGUUGAAGGUUGGGUAACACUAACUGGAGGACCGAACCGACUAAUGUUGAAAAAUUAGCGGAUGACCUGUGGCUGGGGGUGAAAGGCCAAUCAAACCGGGAGAUAGCUGGUUCUCCCCGAAAGCUAUUUAGGUAGCGCCUCGUGAAUUCAUCUCCGGGGGUAGAGCACUGUUUCGGCUAGGGGGCCAUCCCGGCUUACCAACCCGAUGCAAACUGCGAAUACCGGAGAAUGUUAUCACGGGAGACACACGGCGGGUGCUAACGUCCGUCGUGAAGAGGGAAACAACCCAGACCGCCAGCUAAGGUCCCAAAGUCAUGGUUAAGUGGGAAACGAUGUGGGAAGGCCCAGACAGCCAGGAUGUUGGCUUAGAAGCAGCCAUCAUUUAAAGAAAGCGUAAUAGCUCACUGGUCGAGUCGGCCUGCGCGGAAGAUGUAACGGGGCUAAACCAU